GGCUUCGGAACUCAGCCGGUAGAGCGCUUGCCGCGAUAAGGCAUGGUAUUUUGUUGCUGGUUCGAAUCCAGCAGAAGCCC
This is a non-coding RNA of Paragonimus heterotremus, 80 nucleotides long. The record is from the annotation of a GenBank genome assembly. Lineage: Eukaryota; Metazoa; Platyhelminthes; Trematoda; Plagiorchiida; Troglotrematidae.